UACCAAAUUUAAGGAUCCGAAACUCAUAUGCCCACAAAAUAAUUGCAUGUAUCAACAUUUUUCUCUCAGUUUAUCCACAAUCAAUAAGUUGCUGAUCUUCGAUCACCAAAAAAAACAACAUGCAACUGCCGAUCUUGGCAUGCACAUCUUCUUCAGGUAGAUCGGAAGAGAGGUAGAGAGAGACCGUAGAAGAAACAAAAUGGAAAAAAUGACUGCAGCAGCACUCUCGAACCACUAUAUACUAAGGCCAGGGGCAGCCUGGUCAAAAAGGAAAAAGAAGGGACAAAGUUGUAACUGCUCGGCCCUUAACUACAGUAACCCAGCUUUAGUAUAUAGUAAAUAAUGGUAACAGAAGGCUAAAAAAAUCCUACUUUGCUUCAAGUUUGCAGUGAUCCAUGCCUUCCGACCUAUAGUAAAUGUAUCCUUCAUAAUAUAGUGUAUCUAAAGAGCAUCUCAUAUACUUGCUUGGCCUAACGACAAUCACCAAACAAAAACACCGAAAUUCUUGAUUAUCAGUACAAAAUGCACAAUAAAGACUAACGACCCUAUUCUUUGAAUCUCUCAGUUCCCUGAAUGACAAACCAAAGUACACUCUUUUCCUCUUUUGGAGGAGUAAAGAUCACAAAUCUUCUUUCAUCUAAUAUCAUAGAGGCCAUGCUCUCUGCAAGGAAACCCCAGCAGUUGUAUGGUUCCGAAUAUAAUUGCCUUCACUAUGGUCAAUGGAUAUAUGAUUGUUCAUAAUACCAUCAACAACAGUAUUGAUGGUAUUAUUGUUGAUUGUUGAUAGAGUAAUGUAUUGCACACUGAGAUGACAAAAUAGACCAACAUUAUAGGGCCACUGUUGCAACGUCAGCAGCCCACGAAGAGUUUAACUUAACUAGACAAUGAGGUUUGAAGUUGUUAACUUGUACGUGAC
Molecule: long non-coding RNA, 916 nt
Filed under: Fragaria vesca (wild strawberry)
Lineage: Eukaryota; Viridiplantae; Streptophyta; Magnoliopsida; Rosales; Rosaceae
Description: long non-coding RNA (FVES_LNC003062)
Source: RNAcentral